GGUAUUGUGGCUCAGCGGUAGAGCACUUCCCUAGCAUGGGUGGGACCUGAGAUUGAGUCUCAGCACCA
This 68-nucleotide transfer RNA is filed under the name Ictidomys tridecemlineatus (thirteen-lined ground squirrel). RNAcentral's name for it is "Spermophilus tridecemlineatus (thirteen-lined ground squirrel) tRNA". It matches the Rfam family "tRNA". From Rfam's summary of the family: Transfer RNA (tRNA) molecules are approximately 80 nucleotides in length. Their secondary structure includes four short double-helical elements and three loops (D, anti-codon, and T loops). The record is from Rfam by way of RNAcentral. Lineage: Eukaryota; Metazoa; Chordata; Mammalia; Rodentia; Sciuridae.